RNAcentral lists this ribosomal RNA (201 nucleotides) under uncultured bacterium. Its description in RNAcentral is "partial 16S ribosomal RNA". It matches the Rfam family "Bacterial small subunit ribosomal RNA", at positions 524 to 715 of the family's 1533-position model. The record is from RNAcentral.
UACGUAGGGCGCAAGGCGUUAUCCGGAAUUAUUGGGACGUAAAGGAGCUCGUAGGCGGUUUGUCGCGUCUGCCGUGAAAGUCCGGGGACUCCGAACUCCCGGAGUCUGCGGUGGGUACGGGCAGACUAGAGUGAUGUAGGGGAGACUGGAAUUCCUGGUGUAGCGGUGAAAUGCGCAGAUAAUCAGGAGGAACACCGAUGG